Molecule: long non-coding RNA, 1860 nt
Organism: Monodelphis domestica (gray short-tailed opossum)
Lineage: Eukaryota; Metazoa; Chordata; Mammalia; Didelphimorphia; Didelphidae
Source: Ensembl
GCCCCGCGGCUCUGGCCUCUGUUGGGGACUAUCGAUGCAGCUCCGGAUCUCCUCUGCUGACCCCAUUAGGGCUCUGCCUGCAGAGACGGAGGGAGGCUGGCCAGCGCCUGCACUCGCCAUGAGCCGGAGGCUGGGGGCCUGGGCCGGGGGCUCCCCGGGGGUGGCGGAGGGGAAGCUGCAAGUCCUGGAGAAGUUCUUUCAGCCUGCCUGGGCUUGGGGGCGGGAGUCCCUGUGGAGCUCCCCUUCCUCCUCCCCGGGCUCCGCAGGCCCCCCCCGGAUUGGCGGCCGGGGUCCCGAGGAGAGGUUGAGGUUUUCGGCCUUCCUCGAUGAGAUAACCCAGAGGGUGCUGAGCCCUGCCCAGCUCCAGGCCCUAGGCUGGAGGGGGGCGCUGCACCACCCCGGGGGUGGAGGAGGACGGCGGAGAACAAAGCCCCCCGGCCAGCCCAUCUCUCCAGAGGACCCGCUGUGGGAGCUGCUGACGCCCAGCGGGGGCUCCGUAGACGGGGGAGACCCGGACCCCGCGCUCGCUCUGCAGCCCGUGUGGGAGGAGCUGCUGGCCCUAAAGGAGCAGUGCAGGAGGCUGCAAGAGGACUUGGCCAGCACUCACAGGGCCCAUCAACUCCUGGAGGAGAAACUCCAAAGCCUGUUUCCUCAUUCAUAAAAUGAGCUGGAGAAAGGAAACAGCCCAAACCACGGCCAUAUCUGCACCCAGAAAACCCCAAAUGGGGCCAUGAGGAUUAGGACAAGCCCUGAAAGCACUGGAUGGCAACAAAAUGAAGACCGUAAUAGCAGCUACCUUCUAGGGUUGUGGUGAGGAUCGACUGCGAUAUGGACCGUCGUGUGCUUGGCACACAGUAGGCACUUGCUAAGUUCUUAUUCCCUCCCUCCCUUCCCAGAAGUUUCUGGAGCUGGGCAGGGUCCCAACCAGGCCAUCCUUGUACUGAGACAGUUUUGGCAGCUGUCCAGAGGAUGACCUGCGGAGGAGGAGGAGGGGUGCACCUGGCAGGGCCCACAAGAGAUGCUGAGUUCUGGUGGAGCUCGGAGAGCAGAGGAGGGAAGGGAUCCUGGGGGAGCCAUGGUGGACGUCGAAUGGACCUGCCCUGGCCACGUAGGGGAAGGCGAGGCCGACUGAGGCGGCAGCACGCCUGGCUGCAGCCCCACUAAGGUCCACUCCAUGGAGAUGGCUAGUUCCUUGGAAUCGUGGCAGCCCUACUCUCUCCCCCUCCAGGCAGGUGCAAAGGGCAGGCCCUCCGGGGUAAUGGUUAACCAGAGGCAUGGACGCCCCGUCUAUAAGAAGUCUCCAGCCCGCCGCCGUGGUGGGGAUUUCCUGGCAUCAUGCAGUGGUGGAAGGCGACCUUGGUGGUGCUGGGGGUCGCUGCCCUCUUUAGCCUGGGCAUCAUCCUGGGUCACUUCGACAUUCCCAAGAAGGCCGAGUCAACCGGCCCCACCAGCCUCAGCCAAGAUCUGGAUCAGGAGCUGCUGGACAACGUCAUGGCUCAACUGGACGCCAACAGGAUCCGGGAGAACCUCAGGGAGCUGUCCUUGAAGCCCCAUCUGGCCACCAGCUCGAGGGAUGACUCUCUUGUAGAGCUCUUUAUGGAGAAGUGGCAGAACCCCGAGUGGGGGCUGGAUGCUGCCAGGAAGGGGGUCUAUGAGGUGCUGCUGUCCUUCCCGAGCCAGAAGCAGCCCAACAGCGUUCGCGUGGUGAGCCCUCAGGGACAGAUUCUCUUCGAUGCCCGGCAGAAGGAGGAGAACCUGACUGAGGAGCAGGGAGACCCGGAGGUGGUACCACCCUAUGCUGCUUAUGCCCCACCAGGGUCCCCUCAGGUACGGACCCUCCAGUUCUCCUUCCUGGGCUAA